GAUGAACGCUGGCGGCGUGCUUAACACAUGCAAGUCGAACGGGAUCCAUCAAGCUUGCUUGGUGGUGAGAGUGGCGAACGGGUGAGUAAUGCGUGACCGACCUGCCCCAUACACCGGAAUAGCUCCUGGAAACGGGUGGUAAUGCCGGAUGCUCCGGCCUGCCGCAUGGGUGGGCCGGGAAAGAUUGUAUCGGUAUGGGAUGGGGUCGCGUCCUAUCAGGUAGUCGGCGGGGUAACGGCCCACCGAGCCUACGACGGGUAGCCGGCCUGAGAGGGCGACCGGCCACAUUGGGACUGAGAUACGGCCCAGACUCCUACGGGAGGCAGCAGUGGGGAAUAUUGCACAAUGGGCGCAAGCCUGAUGCAGCGACGCCGCGUGCGGGAUGACGGCCUUCGGGUUGUAAACCGCUUUUGAUCGGGAGCAAGCCUUCGGGUGAGUGUACCUUUCGAAUAAGCAC
RNAcentral lists this ribosomal RNA (457 nucleotides) under uncultured bacterium. Its description in RNAcentral is "bacterial SSU rRNA". It matches the Rfam family "Bacterial small subunit ribosomal RNA", at positions 28 to 493 of the family's 1533-position model. The record is from RNAcentral.